This 1261-nucleotide unclassified non-coding RNA is filed under the name Hevea brasiliensis (rubber tree). Lineage: Eukaryota; Viridiplantae; Streptophyta; Magnoliopsida; Malpighiales; Euphorbiaceae. The record is from RNAcentral.
ACACUAAUUGAGGGAUUCUAACAGAAAGCCAUAAGCGAAAGAGGGAGCUCGCCCGAAAAGUGUUAGAGAUGAAGGAGGCUGCUGCCGCUGCCCAAGCGCAGAGACCAGCUUUGGUGGAAGUGCCGAGCUCUCCAUUCCGACCACAAGAACAGCCGGCCUCGGAAGUAGAGGUCAUCCCUUCGGAGCCUCCUGCUCGAUCAGCUGAACCUCCUCCUCCACCUCCUGCAUCUUUGAGUGUAGAGGGCGGUUCUUCUGGACCAACCAUCCCAGUCGGUCGAUCACUCUCCCGAGGUGCUCAGGUUCUGCUUCAAUCAUUGGAGAGGAACCGCUCGGUCGAUUUGGUGAAAGUCUUGGGCACUUCGAUCUGUUUUUUCGAAGAUCAGACUCAGAUGGGCCAGAAGAGCAUCGAAGAUCUUUUGACCCAGACGAUGAGCUUGGGCUUAGAAGCGGUCACGAACCAACAGAUGAUCAAGGAAAAGCCUCAUCUCUUAAGGAGGGAGAUCCUCAAGGCGGUUCAGGAUGCAGCGACUGCAAACACCCAACUUUCUGCUGCUAAUGAUCAAAUCAUUGACUUAGAGGGCCAAGUGAGAUCUUAUGAGGAGAGAACGACUCAGCUGGAGAGGGAACUUGAAGAUGCCCGAGCCUGCCGAGCUGCUGAUCUGGCUCGAUUCUCUAGAUAGAUAAGGGCCAAGGAGGGCGAAACUCUGGUGAAGGAAGCUGGUGCUUAUGUGAACGCUCACAGCGAUCUCCUAGCCGAGCUGGUGAAUACUGAAUAGAAUUGACUCCUAAUCAAUUGGAUAAAGUUGAACAUAGAACCUGAGAUCAGUUAUCAAUCAUAAAACAUAAGACCACUUAAAGAGAUCGGAAAAUCAUUGCACACGAACAUGAGAUCGGAUGACCUUGUGACCAAAUAUCGAUCAAAACUUUUAAACACUUGAAGAGUGAUUUGUAAAAUUGUAAGGAUUUGAAAAAUGGCUUGAGAUCAGGUCAUAGUUGAAAUAACUUAUUAGGAUCGGGACAAGUAUUUAGAGAUAGGAUGAAACAUUAACUUUGUUAAGAAAUGUUUGAACAAAUCGAGCAAGAUACUUGGUCACAAAACUAAAUCGUAAUUUGGAAUUUUGAAGUGUUUGAACACAACGAGAUCGGAAAACAACAAAACGUAAAAUUAGAUGGUCCGAAGAUUGGAUAUCGAUCUGAACAGGUCAAACAAAGACAAAGAAAUCGGAAAAUAAUCUAACCUGAGCGUGCAUGAGGUCGAAUA